Molecule: small nuclear RNA, 58 nt
Organism: Pygocentrus nattereri (red-bellied piranha)
Lineage: Eukaryota; Metazoa; Chordata; Actinopteri; Characiformes; Serrasalmidae
Gene: U2
Rfam family: U2 spliceosomal RNA
About the family: U2 is a small nuclear RNA (snRNA) component of the spliceosome (involved in pre-mRNA splicing). Complementary binding between U2 snRNA (in an area lying towards the 5' end but 3' to hairpin I) and the branchpoint sequence (BPS) of the intron results the bulging out of an unpaired adenosine, on the BPS, which initiates a nucleophilic attack at the intronic 5' splice site, thus starting the first of two transesterification reactions that mediate splicing.
Source: Ensembl
UCUAGUGUAGUAUCUGUUCUUAUCAGUUUAAUAUCUGAUACAUCCUCUAUACGAGGAC